AGCAAAUGCAACCAAAUCAAACCUGGCCAAAAGAACUCUGAACACACCGAUUCUGACCUUUCAAAGCGAUGACUAACCAUUGAAUUCAUUUCUCAAAGUGAAGUUCUUUCUGAAAUUAAUCUCACAGGAAGACAUACGACACAAAAAAAAUUCUUCAAGAAUGGGGCUUUUAUCUCUUAUUAUGGCGGGUGCUGGUUUCUUCCUGAUUGGUGCAUGGGAAUCUCUCACCUCCUUUGCAGAUUUGAGCCUAGACUCAAACCCAAAUUCAAUUUCGUCUUCUGGGAUUGAUCGAAUAUCAAAAUCUACGACCCAAAAGAACACAGACCCGAAAUAUCAAUCUUCUUCGUUUAUUUACAUAGCCAUCACUGUCUUCUCUUUUCUAUUCAUUAUUGAUUCUCUAAUCUCACUUUUCAAUGCCGCCAAUUCACAAGAUGGAAUUGGCUCCGCCCUUCAGUUGCAAGUUCUUGCUGUUGCCGCACUCUUUUCCCUGUACUCAAUUUUAGGUCUGGUAUCGAAUUUUUCAACUUCUGUUCGUUUCCCUUCGCCGCUUCUUGAUUUGAUCCUUCUGUUCGCGUUUGUGGAAGAGUUCUUGUUGUAUUAUCUGCAAAGGAAGGACACAAGUGGGAUUGAGAACAGGUAUUUUGAUCUAUUGCUCGUUCCAAUCACGAUUUGUGUGGUUUCUACGAUUCUGGAGUUAAAGUCUUCCUCGAAAUCGAAUAAUUAUGCAAGAAUGGUCCGUGGGGUUGGGUUGAUUUUGCAAGGCAUGUGGUUUGUGCAAAUGGGUAUUUCUUUUUACAGUAAUAUGAUCGUUCAUGGUUGCUCUUUGCAUGAAAAGAGCAGAGGGGAUUACACUAUAAAAUGUAAAGGGCACUCCGAGUAUCAUAGGGCCAGAGGGAUCGCUACACUUCAGUUCAAUUGCCAUCUUGCUUUGCUUGUGGUUUUGGUGACGAGUGUGUACUCCAUUAUGGCUAGAAAGAAUGGGGAUGAUAGAAAUUUUAUGCAGUACAAGCCUCUUAGGACAGAGAUGCAGCAGAUGGAGAACAACGGACACUUCACUUUGGAUUCUGAUGAGGAUGAGAUUAGAGAAGGGGAGAAUGUGGCUAAGGAGAGGUUAGCUAUAGUGGAAAUGGGUGUUAACGGUUAUAGUUCUCAUGAGUGAGAACCGGCAACAAGAGCUUGCAAGGUGAGACAUUUUAUUUGGGCAUGAGGAUUCUCUCCUGAGGGAAUUGACUUGAGACAGUUUUUGAGUUAUUGGAAGCAUGACUUUUGGAGGGCAUGGUGUGGGAAAGGGGCUUCUCAAUAUGACUAUCUUGCUUUGUGGAAAAUAUGAAUUGUGGGGCAAUUAACAGAACCACAGCCAUAUUGGGAUGCACUUACCUUGCAUAUUAAUCUUCUUCUGAAGAGUUGCCUAUUGCAGAAGUGUGCAACACAUCCGGGUAAGCAUGCACAGGCUACCAGAGGGUUUUAGUAAAGCAACUCCUUUACAUAAAUAGUGAAGGAUCAACUUACUGGCCCUAAUCAAAACUACAAUCACCUUCUUUGCUCUCUGCCUUUGACUGGUAAUUUUAAUAUGUUUUGGAGACAUGAAGUAGCAUAUACAAUCAAUUUGGACCAUGUUAUUACUAUGUUCAUCGUCUAGUUAUGAGUUCUGUAUGUGGAUAAUUCUCUAUCCACAUGUCCAAACCCGGGAGGAAAAACUUGUGCAGAACAUGAGAUUAAUAUAUUCUUUGGCAAGACAAUAAGCACAAUGUUUCAAUGUCACUGGUUGUUGUAUCACCAACUCAAUCAAGACAGACCAUUUUGUAUAUGGUUAAACUGUGCAAAUACGCUUUGAAGAUUUGGGUGUGUAGGCCCAAAAUUAUAGGCUACUUGGUGGAGUAUUUAACCCUGCCUUAUCUUUGGUGUAAACAUGCUUGCAUUUCUCCUGUGUGGUUGACUAAUUAAGGGUGCAAACUACCAGUUAUUAGCUGAUCUCAUCAGUACAAGAGUCGGACGCUAAGAGCUAGAAGUUGGAUUGAGUACAUUUGAGCUUAAGAUAGGAGGCUUAAGCAUUUUUGAAAACAAAGUUUUAACAACCUUAUUUAGCUUUGACUGGCUUAGCUCAAGCUUUAAUUAGAUCAGCUCAACUCUUUUUCCCCAUUGUGAUAGAAACAGUUUAUUUAUGAGUGGGUUCACAUUAAAAGAUGACUAUGUUUAAACAUCUGUUCUUGACAAUGAUAAAUAUUCCUGAAGGGGACAUCAGAUGAUUUGUCCUGGCCAUUUGUUUAGUCUCUUAUGUUUGAGUUUAGGCAACAGUUUGGAGGUUACAACAGUAUUCUUCUUUCCUGCCUAGAUUAAAAAGUUGGCUACUCUUCUGAUCAAUAACUUGUUAGGCUUAGGCUACACAGUCUCAGCAGCCAUAUAAGAGAGUCUCUAUCAUCUUUGUUCUGUAAUUGUCAUAUAUACCAGAUGAUGCUUUGUGGUUUCUAUGGAGUUGCAAAAGUUUUGCUAGUAGGUAGUAUGUUGUGACUCGUGAUAGUUUCUUAUCUGCUUUUGAAUUGUGCGUCGUCACCUCUUAUUCUUUCUUCUCAUACUUGUUCAUGUCUUGAUAUGCACAUUUCUGAAAUGAAUAUAACCUUCAGCGAGAUCAUUUACGAGUGUAGGAAGAAACUGCAGUGUAAACAGCAAGUGUUCUGCAGCAACCAAAGAUCAGAGGAACACUGACAUUAUACGUGUUGAUACCAGCUGGGUCAGCUGGGUUAGUGAUUCUGCAGUGGCCAAUAGCCUCUACCUUCAUAUUGGGAGUUCAUGCAUCCUCACCAGCUGCGACUCUGAAGUUUAAGCAGCUUGGCUCCUUAUUCAACGGUUGAAUAUACCUAUUCCGAAAAUGCUAGUUCUCUGCAUACUUGUUUUCUAUCAUUUUUGUUAAUAACUGGAAUGCAAAAAUGUUGCAUUGCAUAAGAAUCCAAUAUGAUUAGCUCUUCCCAUC
Molecule: RNA transcript, 2968 nt
Organism: Hevea brasiliensis (rubber tree)
Lineage: Eukaryota; Viridiplantae; Streptophyta; Magnoliopsida; Malpighiales; Euphorbiaceae
Exons: 3
Source: RefSeq, a predicted model, not a curated record